This 423-nucleotide ribosomal RNA is filed under the name uncultured bacterium. RNAcentral's name for it is "bacterial SSU rRNA". It matches the Rfam family "Bacterial small subunit ribosomal RNA", at positions 356 to 776 of the family's 1533-position model. The record is from RNAcentral.
AAGGAAUAUUGGACAAUGGAGGAAACUCUGAUCCAGCCAUGCCGCGUGCAGGAAGAAUGCCUUAUGGGUUGUAAACUGCUUUUUUAAAGGAAGAAAUACUCAUUCGUGAAUGGGUUUGACGGUACUUUAAGAAUAAGGAUCGGCUAACUCCGUGCCAGCAGCCGCGGUAAUACGGAGGAUCCAAGCGUUAUCCGGAAUUAUUGGGUUUAAAGGGUCCGCAGGCGGUUUGUUAAGUCAGAGGUGAAAUCCUACCGCUCAACGGUAGAACUGCCUUUGAUACUGGCAAACUUGAGUUAUUGUGAAGUAAUUAGAAUGUGUAGUGUAGCGGUGAAAUGCUUAGAUAUUACACAGAAUACCGAUUGCGAAGGCAGAUUACUAACAAUUAACUGACGCUCAGGGACGAAAGCGUGGGUAGCGAACAGG